UUUAUUUUCACAACCACGGACCACCUUGUAACGGGCGGUUCCGAAACUGACGCGAUGGUAAGAAUGGUGAAUGCCACCGCCAUCACCACCACAUCGCCACCGCUGCUGAAAAGAGAGAAUUGUAAGCACACCAAGCAUGAUUCUGUCUUUUCAUAUUGGAAGAUCCUUAUAGGGCCUAAUGAUUGGGAAGAUUAUUUGUUGAACAAGGAAGGUGUAGAGAGAUACAGGACUUGUAAUCUUCCAAAUUGCGCUUCAUGUCCAGGGAUUUAUGAGCUUGGGAUACUUGUUUCACCCCGAAGAAAAGAGGAAAAUGCUAGCAGCAAACUUAGUUUUAAAAACGUAAUUCCUGUUUAUCUUGGACAAGCUGACAAUGUUAGGACCAGAAUGCAGCAGUAUGGUCGAGAUGGUGAUCAUCUGGAGAAUGGCUUGUCAAAUGGUGAGCAAAAUGACCGGAAAGUACUUGGAUUGUUCUCUGACAUAUUCGCAUAUGGGUUUGCCAUUGCGUUUAGAUGGGCUCCGAUGGAUAGCAAGAAAGAUGCUGAGAUAGCAGAAUCCCAGCUUUUAAAAACCUUUGAUUAUGCAUGGAACAGAGGGAUGAAUGGAGAGCGUCGCCCAGGUGAUAUACAUCAAAAGCUCAGUAAUGCUGCUUCACAUACUAAAAGGGUACAUCUGAUAUUCAAGAAGCUUCAUGCCUUCCCUCCGAAGAAAGUGGGUCUAAAAAUUAAACGUUGUGACUCACCUGUGUUUGAAAAUGGGUCCAACUUCUAUACUAAUCAAAAGGACACAAAUAUCCUCUCCAGAAUUUUCAAGUUCAGCCGAUUUCGACCUACCUUAGUGUCCAAAGAGAGUUUUAUGAACAACAAUGAUGUCGAUAUAUGCGGUGUAGCAUUGGGUCAUGGUUCCAUAUGCACAAGGGCUCCGGUUGAAGGAAGAAAGAGAUGUAUGGACCACAAAGGAAUGAAAGUCAACGCGUUUGUAAAACCUCAUUUACCUACAAACAACACAGAGAUCACACCUCAUCUUACUUGUGGAGUCACUCUAGAUGAUGCUUCUUUUUGUACAAGAGUGCCCGUUGUAGGGAGAAAAAGAUGUGAGGAGCAUAAAGGCAUGAGAAUCAUUAGGAAAGAUAAACAUUAUAUACCAAGCUCUGGUUUAGAUUUGGAGUCCGGGAGAUUUCGUAAUGAGCAAAAGAGUUGUGAAGAAAAUAUCAUGGGGAUGAUGGUCAAUGGGAACAAGUCAAAGAUCUCGAGUACUGAUUUAUUGACUUGUGCGGCUAUUACAGUUAGUGGUUCAUUGUGUAAAAGGAAACCAGGUCAAAAUAGCAAGUUUUGCUGGCAACAUGAAGCAAUGAGGGGUCAUGAACAAUCACUAGCCAUAUAAAAGUUCUUCCUGUUUAACUAAAUAAGAUACUUCGUAACAUCAUAGAGUUUCAUCAUCUUCGAGAUAACAUAAUUCCAUACCGCUGCAAAAGGUAGGUCCUUUUACAAUGUUAAUGCUCACAAGAUCUAGUGCAUCCGAAUCUUCAACUCCAAAGGUAGUAAGCAGAAGCGUUGGAGCAAAUGUAUAAAUCGAUGAUGAUCACAAAAAAAUGUAUUUUAAUGUUGGCCAGGGUAAAAGGUCUUUACCCAGAACAGCUCGCAAUUAAGUUGAUUCAUCCGUUAAAAACUUGUGAAAUAAUGUCUUAGCAUAACAUUCGCUCUAUGACAAAAGUUGGUAUUGGCCAUUUCACGUUUUCAGAUUUACGAUUGCCU
RNA transcript from Erigeron canadensis, 1751 nucleotides. It is a transcript of the gene named protein EFFECTOR OF TRANSCRIPTION 2-like, with no coding region annotated. NCBI's taxonomy places the organism in Eukaryota, Viridiplantae, Streptophyta, Magnoliopsida, Asterales, Asteraceae. The record is from RefSeq and is a predicted model, not a curated record. The transcript has 5 exons.